Molecule: long non-coding RNA, 2107 nt
Organism: Equus asinus (donkey)
Lineage: Eukaryota; Metazoa; Chordata; Mammalia; Perissodactyla; Equidae
Source: Ensembl
GCGCCUAACUCGAGGGUGCUCCCAAGUGGCUGUGGACCAGCAAUGGUCCCUGCAGAGAGAGGCAAGAAGUGUGAGCCAAACCGUCAGCUGGGGGCUCUGUUCCACGUUACUCUCACUCUGGACACCAGGCUGACGUGAGAAACACCAACUGGAGUACCGCUGGUUGCUAUGGAGAGAGAAAGAAGUGGGAGAAUUUGUAUUGGCUCUUAAAAUAUCUGCUCCCAUGUCAUUGGUCAAAGCAGGUCCCGUUCCACAUCUAACUUCAAAGAGGAUAUGGAAGUAUACUCCCAUCACGUGUCUGGAAAGAAGGAAACAGGAUGUUUGUGAAGAGCCUGAGAAUACUACACGACUCUUUCAGUUGCAAAUGACAUAAACCAAAUUUUAAUUGGCCGAAGCAGAAAAGGGAAUUUGCUGACUCACGUAAGUGUAGGGGUUGUUUGGCUUCAAACACGGUUGGAUCUAGAUAGUCAAAGAUGUCUUCAGUGUUCCAUCUCUCUUCUGUCUGGUCCUUAUUCUCAGCUAGCAGCCUCCCAAGUCACGACAGAAAUAGCCAUCAGCAGUUUCACAAUUAUUUUCCAUCAACUAUAAAAGGGAGAGUCUCAGGGCAGUGUGGUGGCAUAGUGGCUGAGUUCGCACACUCCGCUUUGGCAGCCCGGGGUUCACUGGUUCGGAUCCUGGGCAUGGACCUACACACUGCUCAUCAAGCCAUGCUGAGGGAGCAUCCCACAUAGAAGAACUAGAAGGACUUACAAGUAGGAUAUACAACUAUGUACUGGGGCUUUGAGGAGAAAAGAAAAAAUUAUUUAAAAAAAAGGGAGAAUCUCUUCCCACUCUGUUCCACAAAAGUACCUGGAAUGAUUUCCAUUGGCCUAGAUUGAGUCACAUGUCCAUUCCUGGUCCACUCUCUCUGACUCUGAUUAGUCUGGCCUGAUUCAGGUGCCCAGGCUUUUGGAGCUGGGAAGUGAGUCAGCCCCACUUGAAAACUGUGGAUGGAUAAUGGGGGAGGGUUGUCUUCUCCAAAUGAAGAGAUGAUUCCAUUACUAGAAGAAGGGACACUGGGCAGGCCAAAACAAAAGAUAUUCAUCGUGUUCUCUCUUCCCUUUUGUGGUGGGUCAGAUGCACCCGUGAUGGAAUCCUGUUGGAAUGUGUGACCCCAGGCUUAUACCUGCUACCGCCCUUCAAUUUAUGCUCAAGGAAAGGCUAGGGCUUACUUCUCUGAGCAAGGUGUGGCGGGGAGGAGCUGCUUAGAAGUGGGCUACGGAAGAGGAAUGAUCAAAGAUAAGUUGAGAUUGGAGCCCAGAGAGUGAGAGAGCAAUAAUGCCACUAACAGAAAUUGAGGGAUGAGAAGGAGAAUCAAUUUUGGAGGGGAGAGUUGAGCUCUACAUCUUGAAUUUGAAAUGACUGGGAUAUGCACGUAGAGCAAUCCACAGGCAUUUGGAGCUGCAGAAGCAUAACUCUGGAUAACUCUGGAUAACUCUGGGAGAGCUAGAUAUUGACUUGAAAAUCAUCUGAUGAUAAGAGGUAGGCUAUCCGGAGGCCUGAGACACCUGAGGGAGAAAAGGAAAGAAAAGAAUGUGGUCUUCCUUGGGAAAUAUCCCCAGCUAGUGGGUGAGACAAGGAAGGGGAGCCACCAAAUGUGACUGAAGAAGAUUGGUUAUAAGGAUGAAAAGGAGAUAAAGGGUAGUUUCUACUUCUCAGAGAUGUCCUCAACUCUCCUCAACAGGGAAAGGAUGAAAAACACUCUCCAUGUCAUUUCCUCUGACCUCACUCUCACUUCUGAUUUUCCUUCUUUUGAUCCUGGAUUGUAUCGUUAUAUCUCUGUGAUCUACAAACACCCCUGCACAUCCAUGUAUAUGAUGAUAUGCUUGAUUAUACUUACAUUUGUUUCUGUAUGUCUUUUGAUUGUCAGUUGCCUGAUUCACCUACUACCUGUUGAUCUAUCCCUGUUUUUACUCAAAAGAUUAUUAGAAGAUGAUGCUAAGCGGAAGUCUUAUCGUAUUGAUUAAAAACCUGAGCUUUCUCAGCAGAACUGGGCUCUAAUCUGUGAUGUCACUUACCACUUUUGUGGCAUAUUUUAAAUUACUCAAGCUCUGAGACUUAAUUUCCU